This 77-nucleotide non-coding RNA is filed under the name uncultured Prevotella sp. The record is from RNAcentral. Lineage: Bacteria; Pseudomonadati; Bacteroidota; Bacteroidia; Bacteroidales; Prevotellaceae.
UUAAGGGGUGUCCGAGGUUUCGGGCUGAGAUUAUACCCUCAUACUUGAUCCGGGUAAUGCCGGCGAAAGGAUUGCAA